AUCUCGUGGUUCCGUCAUCAAUCGAUACGGACGGUACGUUCGUCUUUCGUCGCGCUUCGUCAUGCCCCGCUUCGCUCAGCGCGCAAUCCACGUUUCCCCAUUAACUCCCGAGCAAGAUAUCCGGAAACAAUCCUCCUGUCACGCAUGGUAUCUAGCGUUAACUCACGUGCCAGAUCCAUCGGGGCAAGCGAUUGUUACAGCGCCCCUCGAAGCAGUCCUCAUCUCACCUCCAACCCACCGGCGGCGUCUGGCAAGCUCCUCCGUGCUGAUGGAGAAGCCGCGUAGCUUUUGGGUCGAGGACGACGAGGGAUGGACGGCCUUCUCGCUUGUGCCGCCCAUGCCCACCACCGAGGCCCUCACGCUCCGUAUCCGGGUCGACGACAAGGCCGGCGCCGCUGAAGCAGAGUAGAAGGACUCCGGUGCCACUCCCAGCGCCGAAUUCACGCCUCGAUUUGGCUCUCGUGGUUAGAUUUGCUAUGAUUCAGAGUUGAGUUGAUUCGUCGACGUGCUUGCCUGAUAGCUCAGACUUCUGACAUGUGAUUGCGGAGCUGGAGUAUGAUCCGCGCCCUAACGGAACUUUCGCCGCCAUACUUCAGGAUACUGCUCGACCAUCCUUCCAAGUGUCGUCACUUUCCGGGCCAGUCUCUGAAGCUCGGGCCAGUCUCUGAAGCUGUCCCUCCGAUUGUCACUGAGAUCCUCAUCACACCUGGACCAUCCUCCAUAUAUGGAGCCGGGGCUAGAAGUACUGCAUAUACACUGACGAAACUGAUUGUUCUAGCUUUGUCGAGCAUUGCCUAGACUAUUCCCGUGACAUGGUCUGCUCCAGGAUUAUACGACCACACUCUGCUAUUGCAAUGCCUUCUCUCAUUUGACGUUAGAUGUGCAUUUUAUUUACUGCUAGCACAUGGAUGAUUUUUGGUCCCCAAGCAAGUGUAGGAUUCAAACCAUUGCGCGAUGCAUGUGCAGGAGUCUACUUUGAUUUAGUUAGACGUAUAAGAGAGACAUCACCAGCAUAAGAAAUUUUAUUGGUCCUUAAAGAACAUAAGAGUUGCAGGGGUAACAAAACAAGUGUUGUACUUUAAAAAAAUGAUUUGAUCUUUAAGGCUGCCUUGUGCUACUCCCUCAUAUCCAUCUAUUUGUAAGAAAACCAUGUGUGAUGGAUUCAGGUGUACAAAAAAGUCAAGAUGGACACCAUGGACCUGCUAUUCAGCAUGGAAAGCGAAAAAAAAAUGUGGAGGCACAUGCCAAGUUUCUCCAAUUCUCAGAUGAAAAUACAUACAAGAGAAGAUCAAUUGUUCUGGAAUACCAAUUUGACUAUUUGUUUCUUGUUUUGUUUGACUAAAAUCUUAGAGGCUCCAUAUGAAGGGCUUAAUGGAUUUAUGGAUUUUGGUGGCUUUGCAGAAGAAGUGAGGCAAUGAGAAGUGUGCAUCCGUGACUUUGUCUAACUUGCCAAGAUUGGGCUCAGGGUGUUCAUAUUCUUGCUUGUUGAAGCCAUUGUUAUCUACACCAACCUCAUGACGUGAUAAGCAAGCUUUGCAAAAAAAAAUCAAACGCGUGUGCCAAUAUAGUAUUUCCCUCCCCAGGUGCAUAUUUUAUUACUUAGUUUUUCACAUGCAUCUCCGAGUGUGUACUAUAUAUUUAUUUUCCAAGUACAUGUUGCAAUUCAAAUAAUUGUUUGCAAGAUGCAGCCUCACAUGUCAUCCAGAUGGUUCUUAACCUGUAGAUUUGUAUCAUUACUCGCAAUCAAGUUUUUCUUUUUUGGAAUACAUAAUAUGAAAUUCCAUAGUUACUUCAUGUAUGUCUGGUACAUCUACAACUCAGUAGCUUUGCAGAAAGGUAAUAAAAUGAUUGAGGAAAUGGACAUCUAUUGGCAUAAACCUAAAUUUGUAACACCACUAAAUACAUGAACUAAUUUGUUUGAACUGGCUUUACUGAAACUAAGAUCUGUACAGUUUGGAUGAUAAACAUUAACUGAGUUUUGUUACUUCACUUGGAUCCAAAUAAAUAGCAAGGCUUACUUUUCCCCAUGCAGUAUAUACAAUAUGAGAAGACCCAGUGUAAAUUCCAUUCUCAUAUUUUUGUCUUGCUUAAGUGUUUGUAUUGUUAUCUUGUAGGAGUACAUUUGGAAAGUAUGAUUAUGUUAAUUUUGUAUUUGAUUACAAUAUUUCACAGGCAUGCGAUGUACCACAUUAUGAUUCUUAAUUUAAUUUUGUACUCCCUCCGUCCAUAUAUAGAUGCCUGAGGUUUGUCUAAAUCUGGAUGUAUCUAGACACUAAAUAGCAUCUAGAUACAUCCAGAUUUAGACAAAUCUCAGACGUCUAUUUGUGGAUAGAGGUAGUAUAUGAUAACAUAAUUCAUAGAGAUAUAUAUGUUGUGAAGAGUGAAGAACAUGCAUUGCAUGUGCACAACUACUCUCUUAACACUGCUUGUGUUUUCCAAGGCCAUGUGACACCUGCUCUGAGCAUACUGCAAUUACAAAUGUUGAUAUUUAAUUUUAGAUGACCAUGUGGUAUAUCAUAAAGGAUAGACUAAGAAAAUGUAAUAAUACAAAAAUUCUUAUACCAAUAAUACUUUCCAGCAGCCAUAAUUAAUUUUUUACACACCUUGUCUGUUUUACUUUCAAAAUGGUGCCCACAUGAAUCUUCUCGUGUAGUACAACUUCAAUAGCUACAACUUCGAAGGUUAGACUAUUAUUAUUUUUCUUGAUUAUGAGUCUGACAUAUAGCAAUUGUAAUUUCACUAUGGGCUAUGCAUGCCAUGUUUAGUUUAAGCAAGUGCUAAAAUUUAUGUAUGAAUAGUAACACUCCAAUGAUGGUUGAUUAUUUACCUACUAAAUUUCUACACGCAUUCAUGUAUGUUCCUUGUGGAUUAUUCAGCCUAUACUUGAAUCAUAGCUACAAAAAUGUUACUCUUUUUGACGGAGUGAAAAUACAUUAUUGCUUGUGAACUCGGUUGCUUUAACUUUGAGAUCAUUUACAUGCUUUUAUGCGGCAAUGCAACACAUGAUAAAUUAUCAUACGAGUGAGAUGGGUCCUGGUUAGAAACAUGUACGCUUGUGUAGCUGGCCUAUUUGUAAUGCUAAAUAUUACACUGGGUAGAGAUCAUUUUCAGGAUAUAUACGUUUUCACUAUCUUCCUACUCAUUUCAUGUAAUAUAUCAUAGGAAGAAUUUAGAAAAGUAGAAGACAAGGAUUCUUCUAUUGCAUAUAACUCCGUCACAUCAUCUUAUCAUUUAUAAUUUUUUGCAUUCAUCAUCUAUGGGCGUGAUUUCAGUUUAUAGCUAAUAAAGUUGAUUCUUCUAUCUUAGUCUGCCUUGCAAUGGUUAUUUUUGCAUUUUGUCACCGGACAUAUGUCUUUUAAUAAUGUAUAUUUGAUGCACACGGUAAUACGUGGAUUAUUUAAUCAUGCUCAUUUUUUGCACACUGUCAUUAGUAUGUUUGUUCUAAUGCCUCUUUAACUUGGGUGAAUGUUAGAUAUUUCUUCAAAGAUGCAUGUAUCAUCAAGAGGGUCUUGCAUAGUAUUAGUAGAGUGAAGGAAACAUAUUGUUCUCAUGCCAGUUCAAAGUGGAAAAUACAUUAUCCCACCAGGACCAGGCGUAAGGAAUCGAAAAGUGUUUGUAGAGGCGUAGGAUUGGAGGAAGAUAUAUGUGUUCGUCUGAUCAAUGAUCAACGUAACCAUUUUUUUGUUGCCUUGCAAUGGCACUAUCAAAGGAUCAGUUGUUGUAGACAAAGCCAGCUCUAAUGAUUGCAAACACAACCAAUUUGGCUUGUGUUCAUGAAGUUGAAUUUUUUUUUUAGAGAA
This is a long non-coding RNA of Lolium perenne, 3800 nucleotides long. RefSeq lists it as uncharacterized. The record is from RefSeq and is a predicted model, not a curated record. NCBI's taxonomy places the organism in Eukaryota, Viridiplantae, Streptophyta, Magnoliopsida, Poales, Poaceae.